ACCCUGCGAGCAGAUACCUCUGCUGAUUGACCUGCUCCCGGCUUGAUGAAUCUGUCCGGGGGAGAGGGAUCCGGAAUCUACCUUGUCCUGGCCCCCCCCCCACCACCACCCUGAUUUUGGAUGUUCUUUUGAUCCUACACCGAUCUGGGAAGGUAACCGUGAGCCCUACCAUCUGCAGCACACAGCAGCUAUUGGAGGUUACUACUGACAGUUUUCAUUACACUGGGGUGUGUGUGCGUGUGUGUCAGUGUGUGUGUUUGUGUGUGUGAGUGUGGGCGCCUGCUUUUGCGUGAAAGAGGAUGUGCGAGUGUCCGUGAGAGUGUGUGUGUGUGUGUAUGUGCGUGUUUGUGUGACAACCAAAGCAGGUAUAUCGUACAGUAGGAGAUUUCAACAGCGUGAAAAUAUUCUCGGGGCACUUGGACUCACAGUGUGGAGCCCCCAGCCUUCACUAUCCCUUUCCUUCCCCACUCUCCCCCUCUCUCUUUUUGCCUUUGAUGAGUUUUUGGCUUACUUUUUGGCGGAGUCUCUUGGACACGUUUUUGCUGGUGCUGGAAGAUCAGAUAAAUGGAACCUUUGAAAACUGAUUAUUUUUCUCCUCUGUGACUUAAAAAAAAACAAAAAACAAAGAAGAAGAAGAUAGAGUAGUGCAAGAUAAGCUAGAGGAUUUUAAAUUUUCCUUGGUGAACUUUGAGGAUCCAUAAAGAAGAAACCAAAUGAAGUGUUUACUGUCAUUAUCCCUAUUUGAUGAAGAGGAUACUGAGGCUCACAGAGAAUUAACUUGUCCAAAAUCAUCUAAUAUCAAGUAAUCACAAGUGAAUGAGCUGAAAGCACACACGGAAGCCGGGACCAGACUUUCAUUGAGGGGAAAACUUACAGAGACAGAACAGUAGCAGAAAUGGUUUUCAGUCCUGCAAGGCUGCCAGAUCACCCAGCGAGAGUGGGACCAAGUCAACUGGAACAUCCAACCCAC
Lutra lutra (Eurasian river otter) is the source of this 970-nucleotide long non-coding RNA. RefSeq lists it as uncharacterized. The record is from RefSeq and is a predicted model, not a curated record. The transcript has 3 exons. NCBI's taxonomy places the organism in Eukaryota, Metazoa, Chordata, Mammalia, Carnivora, Mustelidae.